CAGACUUUGGGAAUGGAAGAUUUACAGCACCACAUAAAUUCUUCUGCACUUGCUCUUGCUUUUGUUUCCUCUUACAAAGGAAGAGAAUAUGUUGAGAUGCUUUGAGGAAUCAGGUUCUCUUCUCACAUAUACCUGGGAUAUUGCUUUUCAUGCAAAGCAAUGAGCUCAUCUUCCCUCUUGCAGUACCAGGAGAAAUUCUCAGCUCCACAGGAUAAAAUCAGCCCAGCACAUCAGCAGGAGGAACACGCACAGCUGAGCAGGGAUGCCCUGUGUGCUCACUGCAGAGUGGCCUUGAGGCUACAAGU
Long non-coding RNA from Oenanthe melanoleuca, 305 nucleotides. RefSeq lists it as uncharacterized. Lineage: Eukaryota; Metazoa; Chordata; Aves; Passeriformes; Muscicapidae. The record is from RefSeq and is a predicted model, not a curated record. The transcript has 3 exons.